GCCGCGGUAAUACGUAGGGGGCAAGCGUUAUCCGGAAUCCUGGGCGUAAAGGGUCCGCAGGUGUCCCGUUAAGUUAGAUGUUAAAUCGCAAGGCUCAACCUUGCGGCUGCAUCUAAUACUGACAGGAUAGAGGAUAGGUGACGGAAGUGGAAUUCCUGGUGGAGAGGUAAAAUCCGUAGAUAUCAGGAGGAACACCCGUGGCGUAGGCGGCUUCCGAACCUAUUCCUGACACUCAGGGACGAAAGCUAGGGGAGCAAACAGGAUUAGAUACCCUGGUAGUCCUAGCUGUAAACGAUGAAUACUAGAUAGUGGGUGCUACACCGUACUCACCGUCGUAGCUAACGCGUUAAGUAUUUCGCCUGGGAACUACGAUCGCAAGUUUGAAACUCAAAGGAAUUGACGGGUCCCCGCACAAGCAGCGAGGCAUGUGGCUUAAUUCGAUGCAACACGAAGAACCUUACCUGGACUUGACAUGUUUCUGAAAGGCCGGAGAAACCCGGUCCCUUCCAGUUUACUGGAACAGUUUCACAGGUGGUGCAUGGUUGUCGUCAGCUCGUGUCGUGAGAUGUAAGGUUAAGUCCUUAAACGAGCGUAACCUUUGUCAUUAGUUGCCACCGGUUCGGCCGAGCACUCUAAUGAGACCGCUAGCGACAAGCUAGAGGAAGAUGGAGUUGACGUCAAAUCCUCACGUCCCUUAUGUCCAGGGCCGCACACAUGCGACAAUGGUAGAGACAGCGGGUUGCGACGGGGUAACCCUGAGCUAAUCCAUAAACUCUGCCUCAGUACAGAUCGAGGGCUGAAAUUCGACCUCGUGAAGAUGGAGUUGCUAGUAAACGCAGGUCAGCUGUACUGCGUUGAAUACGUUCCCGGGGAUUGCA
Molecule: ribosomal RNA, 878 nt
Filed under: uncultured Caldisericota bacterium
Lineage: Bacteria; Pseudomonadati; Caldisericota
Description: bacterial SSU rRNA
Rfam family: Bacterial small subunit ribosomal RNA
Source: RNAcentral